Molecule: ribosomal RNA, 301 nt
Filed under: uncultured bacterium
Lineage: Bacteria
Description: partial 16S ribosomal RNA
Rfam family: Bacterial small subunit ribosomal RNA
Source: RNAcentral
CAGCCGCCGCGGGAAUACGAAGGGUGCAAGCGUUAAUCGGAAUUACUGGGCGUAAAGCGUGCGUAGGCGGUUUGUUAAGUCUGUUGUGAAAUCCCCGGGCUCAACCUGGGAAUGGCAAUGGAUACUGGCAAGCUAGAGUGUGUCAGAGGAUGGUGGAAUUCCCGGUGUAGCGGUGAAAUGCGUAGAGAUCGGGAGGAACAUCAGUGGCGAAGGCGGCCAUCUGGGACAACACUGACGCUGAGGCACGAAAGCGUAGGGAGCAAACAGGAUUAGAUACCCCCGUAGUCCCUGUCUCUUAUAC